UAACCCGUGGCAAUGGCUGCAGCAGCACGGCGUGUAAUCUGGAUGGACAUGUCAGGGUACACGUGCACUUACUUCAAGAUGACGACACUCCACCUCAAGAACAGCCUCUCCUCAAUGAUAAGUAGCGAGAUUAAAUGAAAGGAAGAUAUCACAUCCGUAACCAGACCGAUACUGUGUUUUCCUUCCAUUUAACCUCCUUCUGCAUUUAAGGAAGCAUUGAUAUGCCCAAUAAAUGUUUUUGUUAAAUUUC
RNAcentral lists this long non-coding RNA (250 nucleotides) under Dermacentor andersoni. RNAcentral describes it as "uncharacterized LOC126530133". The record is from RNAcentral. Lineage: Eukaryota; Metazoa; Arthropoda; Arachnida; Ixodida; Ixodidae.